Molecule: ribosomal RNA, 252 nt
Filed under: uncultured bacterium
Lineage: Bacteria
Description: partial 16S ribosomal RNA
Rfam family: Bacterial small subunit ribosomal RNA
Source: RNAcentral
UACGUAGGGUGCAAGCGUUGUCCGGAAUUAUUGGGCGUAAAGAGCUCGUAGGCGGUCUGUCGCGUCGGAUGUGAAAAUCAGGGCUCAACCCUGGACCUGCAUUCGAUACGGGCAGACUAGAGUUCGGUAGGGGAGACUGGAAUUCCUGGUGUAGCGGUGAAAUGCGCAGAUAUCAGGAGGAACACCGGUGGCGAAGGCGGGUCUCUGGGCCGAUACUGACACUGAGGAGCGAAAGCGUGGGGAGCGAACAGG